UUAAGUCAGAUGUGAAAGCCCGGGGCUCAACCUCGGAACCGCAUUUGAAACUGGCAGGCUAGAGUCUUGUAGAGGGGGGUAGAAUUUCAGGUGUAGCGGUGAAAUGCGUAGAGAUCUGAAGGAAUACCAGUGGCGAAGGCGGCCCCCUGGACAAAGACUGACGCUCAGAUGCGAAAGCGUGGGUAGCAAACAGGAUUAGAUACCCUGGUAGUCCACGCCGUAAACGCUGUCUACUUGGAGGUUGAGGUUUAGACUUUGGCUUUCGGCGCUAACGCAUUAAGUAGACCGCCUGGGGAGUACGGCCGCAAGGUUAAAACUCAAAUGAAUUGACGGGGGCCCGCACAAGCGGUGGAGCAUGUGGUUUAAUUCGAUGCAACGCGAAGAACCUUACCUACUCUUGACAUCCAGCGAAGCCUUUAGAGAUAGAGGCGUGCCUUCGGGAGCGCUGAGACAGGUGCUGCAUGGCUGUCGUCAGCUCGUGUUGUGAAAUGUUGGGUUAAGUCCCGCAACGAGCGCAACCCUUAUCCUUGUUUGCCAGCACGUAAUGGUGGGAACUCCAGGGAGACUGCCGGUGAUAAACCGGAGGAAGGUGGGGACGACGUCAAGUCAUCAUGGCCCUUACGAGUAGGGCUACACACGUGCUACAAUGGCAGAUACAGAGGGCAGCGAAGCUGCGAAGUGGAGCGAAUCCCUUAAAGUCUGUCGUAGUCCGGAUUGGAGUCUGCAACUCGACUCCAUGAAGUCGGAAUCGCUAGUAAUCGUGGAUCAGAAUGCCACGGUGAAUACGUUCCCGGGCCUUGUACACACCGCCCGUCACACCAUGGGAGUGGGCUGCACCAGAAGUAGAUAGCUUAACCUUCGGGAGGGCGUUUACCACGGUGUGGUUCAUGACUGGGGUGAAGUCGUAACAA
Molecule: ribosomal RNA, 911 nt
Filed under: Salinivibrio sp.
Lineage: Bacteria; Pseudomonadati; Pseudomonadota; Gammaproteobacteria; Vibrionales; Vibrionaceae
Description: bacterial SSU rRNA
Rfam family: Bacterial small subunit ribosomal RNA
Source: RNAcentral